Molecule: ribosomal RNA, 164 nt
Filed under: uncultured bacterium
Lineage: Bacteria
Description: partial 16S rRNA
Rfam family: Bacterial small subunit ribosomal RNA
Source: RNAcentral
UAGGGAAUCUUCCACAAUGGACGCAAGUCUGAUGGAGCAACGCCGCGUGAGUGAAGAAGAUCUUCGGAUCGUAAAACUCUGUUGUUAGAGAAGAACACGAGUGAGAGUAACUGUUCAUUCGAUGACGGUAUCUAACCAGCAAGUCACGGCUAACUACGCGCCAG